CCUACGGGAGGCAGCAGUAGGGAAUCUUUCACCAUGGGCGAAAGCCUGAUGGAGCAACGCCGCGUGCAGGAUGAAGGCCUUCGGGUUGUAAACUGCUUUUAUAAGCGAGAAAUAUGAUGGUAACUUAUGAAUAAGGAUCGGCUAACUACGUGCCAGCAGCCGCGGUCAUACGUAGGAUCCGAGCAUUAUCCGGAGUGACUGGGUGUAAAGAGUUGCGUAGGUGGCAUAAUAAGUAGCUAGUGAAAUCUGGUGGCUCAACCAUUCAGACUAUUAGCUAAACUGUUAAGCUCGAGACCGUUAGGGGUAACUGGAAUUUCUAGUGUAGGAGUGAAAUCCGUAGAUAUUAGAAGGAACACCAAUAGCGUAGGCAGGUUGCUGGGACGGUUCUGACACUAAGGCACGAAAGCGUAGGGAGCAAACGGGAUUAGAUACCCCAGUAGUC
Molecule: ribosomal RNA, 442 nt
Filed under: uncultured bacterium
Lineage: Bacteria
Description: partial 16S ribosomal RNA
Rfam family: Bacterial small subunit ribosomal RNA
Source: RNAcentral